UGUGAACUCGAAGAGUAGGGCGGGACACGUGGUAUCCUGUCUGAAUAUGGGGGGACCAUCCUCCAAGGCUAAAUACUCCUGACUGACCGAUAGUGAACCAGUACCGUGAGGGAAAGGCGAAAAGAACCCCGGCGAGGGGAGUGAAAAAGAACCUGAAACCGUGUACGUACAAGCAGUGGGAGCCUCUUUAUGGGGUGACUGCGUACCUUUUGUAUAAUGGGUCAGCGACUUAUAUUCUGUAGCAAGGUUAACCGAAUAGGGGAGCCGAAGGGAAACCGAGUCUUAACUGGGCGUUAAGUUGCAGGGUAUAGACCCGAAACCCGGUGAUCUAGCCAUGGGCAGGUUGAAGGUUGGGUAACACUAACUGGAGGACCGAACCGACUAAUGUUGAAAAAUUAGCGGAUGACUUGUGGCUGGGGGUGAAAGGCCAAUCAAACCGGGAGAUAGCUGGUUCUCCCCGAAAGCUAUUUAGGUAGCGCCUCGUGAACUCAUCUUCGGGGGUAGAGCACUGUUUCGGCUAGGGGGUCAUCCCGACUUACCAACCCGAUGCAAACUGCGAAUACCGAAGAAUGUUAUCACGGGAGACACACGGCGGGUGCUAACGUCCGUCGUGAAGAGGGAAACAACCCAGACCGCCAGCUAAGGUCCCAAAGUCAUGGUUAAGUGGGAAACGAUGUGGGAAGGCACAGACAGCCAGGAUGUUGGCUUAGAAGCAGCCAUCAUUUAAAGAAAGCGUAAUAGCUCACUGGUCGAGUCGGCCUGCGCGGAAGAUGUAACGGGGCUAAACCAUGCACCGAAGCUGCGGCAGCGACACUAUGUGUUGUUGGGUAGGGGAGCGUUCUGUAAGCCGUUGAAGGUGUGCUGUGAGGCAUGCUGGAGGUAUCAGAAGUGCGAAUGCUGACAUAAGUAACGAUAAUGCGGGUGAAAAACCCGCACGCCGGAAGACCAAGGGUUCCUGUCCAACGUUAAUCGGGGCAGGGUGAGUCGACCCCUAAGGCGAGGCCGAAAGGCGUAGUCGAUGGGAAACAGGUUAAUAUUCCUGUACUUGGUGUUACUGCGAGGGGGGGACGGAGAAGGCUAUGUUAGCCGGGCGACGGUUGUCCCGGUUUAAGCAUGUAGGCGGAGAUUCCAGGUAAAUCCGGAAUCUUGUUAACGCUGAGGUGUGAUGACGAGGCACUACGGUGCUGAAGUAACAAAUGCCCUGCUUCCAGGAAAAGCCUCUAAGCAUCAGGUAACACGAAAUCGUACCCCAAACCGACACAGGUGGUCAGGUAGAGAAUACCAAGGCGCUUGAGAGAACUCGGGUGAAGGAACUAGGCAAAAUGGUGCCGUAACUUCGGGAGAAGGCACGCUGAUAUGUAAGUGAAGUGAUUUACUCAUGGAGCUGAAAUCAGUCGAAGAUACCAGCUGGCUGCAACUGUUUAUUAAAAACACAGCACUGUGCAAACACGAAAGUGGACGUAUACGGUGUGACGCCUGCCCGGUGCCGGAAGGUUAAUUGAUGGGGUUAUCCGUAAGGAGAAGCUCUUGAUCGAAGCCCCGGUAAACGGCGGCCGUAACUAUAACGGUCCUAAGGUAGCGAAAUUCCUUGUCGGGUAAGUUCCGACCUGCACGAAUGGCGUAAUGAUGGCCAGGCUGUCUCCACCCGAGACUCAGUGAAAUUGAACUCGCUGUGAAGAUGCAGUGUACCCGCGGCAAGACGGAAAGACCCCGUGAACCUUUACUAUAGCUUGACACUGAACACUGGUCCUUGAUGUGUAGGAUAGGUGGGAGGCUUUGAAGUGUGGACGCCAGUCUGCAUGGAGCCAACCUUGAAAUACCACCCUUUAAUGGCUGGUGUUCUAACGUAGACCCGUAAUCCGGGUUGCGGACAGUGUCUGGUGGGUAGUUUGACUGGGGCGGUCUCCUCCUAAAGAGUAACGGAGGAGCACGAAGGUUAGCUAAUCCUGGUCGGACAUCAGGAGGUUAGUGCAAAGGCAUAAGCUAGCUUGACUGCGAGAGUGACGGCUCGAGCAGGUGCGAAAGCAGGUCUUAGUGAUCCGGUGGUUCUGAAUGGAAGGGCCAUCGCUCAACGGAUAAAAGGUACUCCGGGGAUAACAGGCUGAUACCGCCCAAGAGUUCAUAUCGACGGCGGUGUUUGGCACCUCGAUGUCGGCUCAUCACAUCCUGGGGCUGAAGUAGGUCCCAAGGGUAUGGCUGUUCGCCAUUUAAAGUGGUACGCGAGCUGGGUUUAGAACGUCGUGAGACAGUUCGGUCCCUAUCUGCCGUGGGCGCUGGAGAAUUGAGGGGGGCUGCUCCUAGUACGAGAGGACCGGAGUGGACGCAUCACUGGUGUUCGGGUUGUCAUGCCAAUGGCAUUGCCCGGUAGCUAAAUGCGGAAGAGAUAAGUGCUGAAAGCAUCUAAGCACGAAACUUGCCCCGAGAUGAGUUCUCCCUGACCCUUUAAGGGUCCUGAAGGAACGUUGAAGACGACGACGUUGAUAGGUCGGGUGUGUAAGCGUAGCGAUACGUUGAGCUAACCGAUACUAAUGAACCGUGAGGCUUAACCUU
This 2550-nucleotide ribosomal RNA is filed under the name Citrobacter sp. Cb028. Its description in RNAcentral is "partial 23S ribosomal RNA". It matches the Rfam family "Bacterial large subunit ribosomal RNA", at positions 398 to 2925 of the family's 2925-position model. Lineage: Bacteria; Pseudomonadati; Pseudomonadota; Gammaproteobacteria; Enterobacterales; Enterobacteriaceae. The record is from RNAcentral.